Molecule: long non-coding RNA, 311 nt
Filed under: Elaeis guineensis (African oil palm)
Lineage: Eukaryota; Viridiplantae; Streptophyta; Magnoliopsida; Arecales; Arecaceae
Description: long non-coding RNA (EGUI_LNC008474)
Source: RNAcentral
UCCAAAAGAUGUCUAAGAGUUGGACAUGUCUUUCUCUUCCUUUCUUCUCAAAAGAUGUCCAAGAGUUGGACACGAAUAAAAAUUAGAUUUGAUCAGAUUUUUCUCUCCUUAUUGGUUCAUGAGAUGGACACAAAAUUCCUCCUCUACUUCUAAAGAUAUCCAAGAGUUGAACAUGAUUAAAUCAGAUUUGAUCUGAUUUAAUUUUUUUGGUCCAUGAGAUGGACGGUUCUCCUCUACCUUUUUUAAAUUUAAUCCAUGAGUUGGACAAGAAAGGAAGAAAAAAGAGAUUUGAUCUCUUAUCUUUUUUUGUA